GGGUGAGUAACACGUGGAUAACCUACCUAUAAGACUGGGAUAACUUCGGGAAACCGGAGCUAAUACCGGAUAAUAUUUUGAACCGCAUGGUUCAAAAGUGAAAGACGGUCUUGCUGUCACUUAUAGAUGGAUCCGCGCUGCAUUAGCUAGUUGGUAAGGUAACGGCUUACCAAGGCAACGAUGCAUAGCCGACCUGAGAGGGUGAUCGGCCACACUGGAACUGAGACACGGUCCAGACUCCUACGGGAGGCAGCAGUAGGGAAUCUUCCGCAAUGGGCGAAAGCCUGACGGAGCAACGCCGCGUGAGUGAUGAAGGUCUUCGGAUCGUAAAACUCUGUUAUUAGGGAAGAACAUAUGUGUAAGUAACUGUGCACAUCUUGACGGUACCUAAUCAGAAAGCCACGGCUAACUACGUGCCAGCAGCCGCGGUAAUACGUAGGUGGCAAGCGUUAUCCGGAAUUAUUGGGCGUAAAGCGCGCGUAGGCGGUUUUUUAAGUCUGAUGUGAAAGCCCACGGCUCAACCGUGGAGGGUCAUUGGAAACUGGAAAACUUGAGUGCAGAAGAGGAAAGUGGAAUUCCAUGUGUAGCGGUGAAAUGCGCAGAGAUAUGGAGGAACACCAGUGGCGAAGGCGACUUUCUGGUCUGUAACUGACGCUGAUGUGCGAAAGCGUGGGGAUCAAACAGGAUUAGAUACCCUGGUAGUCCACGCCGUAAACGAUGAGUGCUAAGUGUUAGGGGGUUUCCGCCCCUUAGUGCUGC
RNAcentral lists this ribosomal RNA (759 nucleotides) under Staphylococcus aureus. Its description in RNAcentral is "bacterial SSU rRNA". It matches the Rfam family "Bacterial small subunit ribosomal RNA", at positions 104 to 849 of the family's 1533-position model. The record is from RNAcentral. Lineage: Bacteria; Bacillati; Bacillota; Bacilli; Caryophanales; Staphylococcaceae.